This 414-nucleotide small RNA is filed under the name Oryza sativa Japonica Group (Japanese rice). Its description in RNAcentral is "sRNA Os04g0599200". The record is from RNAcentral. Lineage: Eukaryota; Viridiplantae; Streptophyta; Magnoliopsida; Poales; Poaceae.
GCAUCUCGUGCUGAUUCCAUUAUGCGUGUCCACGAUCUGUUCGUAGGCUGUUACGAGAGCUGGGGUUGUGGUGCCUGCGAGGUGUUCGUGGAAUUGCGCGAGUCGAGCAGAACAUAGAUGUUGUGUCACCGAAUACGGAUGUCGUUGCCGGGAAUGCUGGAGCCAUUGUGCACUGCAUAAGAUUAAGGAGAUCUGGUGCAGAUAGCUGGAUCCCAGUUUGCAGUUUCUACUGGGGGAACCUCUUGCUCCAAAUCAAUUUCUAGUUGAUGUUGAAGGUGGUUAAUUGCUCUUGCAGCUUCAGCUAGAUUGGCCGUAUUCGAGAGAGCUUCUGUUGAGUACGGGUGCACUUUGAAUUUCUGCAAAUCAAUGCUUGUGUUUUCACUGCUUGCAGGAGCUUGAUUUGAGUCAUGGAUC